RNAcentral lists this ribosomal RNA (440 nucleotides) under uncultured bacterium. RNAcentral's name for it is "bacterial SSU rRNA". It matches the Rfam family "Bacterial small subunit ribosomal RNA", at positions 338 to 795 of the family's 1533-position model. The record is from RNAcentral.
CCUACGGGAGGCACCAGUGGGGAAUAUUGGACAAUGGGCGAAAGCCCGAUCCAACAAUGCCGCGUGUGUGAAGAAGGUCUUCGGGUUGUAAAGCACUUUCGACGGGGACGAUGAUGACGGUACCCGUAGAAGAAGCCCCGGCUAACUUCGUGCCAGCAGCCGCGGUAAUACGAAGGGGGCUAGCGUUGCUCGGAAUGACUGGGCGUAAAGGGCGCGUAGGCGGUUUAUGCAGUCAGAUGUGAAAUCCCCGGGCUUAACCUGGGAACUGCAUUUGAGACGCAUAGACUAGAGGUCGAGAGAGGGUUGUGGAAUUCCCAGUGUAGAGGUGAAAUUCGUAGAUAUUGGGAAGAACACCGGUGGCGAGGGCGGCAACCCGGCUCGAUACUGACGCUGAGGCGCGAAAGUGUGGGGAGCAAACAGGAUUAGAUACCCGUGUAGUC